This 226-nucleotide unclassified non-coding RNA is filed under the name rhizosphere metagenome. RNAcentral's name for it is "partial ribosomal RNA internal transcribed spacer region". The record is from RNAcentral.
GUAGGUGAACCUGCGGAAGGAUCAUUACCUUUCAAUGCGGCAGAAUGGGGAUGGUUGAGAUUCUCGCCUCUCCGUUCCGCCUGUAUUCUACCCUUGUUUGUCAUAUACUAUUAUUUCCUCGGCAGGCUUGCUUGCCGAGUGAAACCAAUUAUAACCUAUUUAAUUGCCAAUCAGCGUCUGAAAAAAUUAAUAAUUACAACUUUCAACAACGGAUCUCUUGGUUCUG